AAUGAACGCUGGCGGCGUGCUUAACACAUGCAAGUCGAACGAGAAAGCUUUAGCUUGCUAAAGCGAGUACAGUGGCGCACGGGUGAGUAACGCGUGGGUAAUCUACCUUUGAAUUUGGGAUAACACUUCGAAAGGGGUGCUAAUACCGAAUAAUAUCUUUGCCAUUGCGGUGGUUGAGAUCAAAGAUGGCCUCUUCUUGAAAGCUAUUGUUUGAAGAUGAGCCCGCGUACCAUUAGCUUGUUGGUGGGGUAAUGGCCUACCAAGGCGACGAUGGUUAGCUGGUCUGAGAGGAUGAUCAGCCACACUGGAACUGGAACACGGUCCAGACUCCUACGGGAGGCUG
RNAcentral lists this ribosomal RNA (343 nucleotides) under uncultured Pseudomonadota bacterium. Its description in RNAcentral is "bacterial SSU rRNA". It matches the Rfam family "Bacterial small subunit ribosomal RNA", at positions 29 to 351 of the family's 1533-position model. Lineage: Bacteria; Pseudomonadati; Pseudomonadota. The record is from RNAcentral.